CAGCUCAGCCUAAAUAAAGAAAUAAAUAUUUUUUUUAAACAUCCAAGGUUAUGAAGAUUUGCCCCUGUGUUUUCUCCUAAGAGUUUUAUGGUUUUAACCCUUGUAUUUAGGUUUUGUUUUGUUUUGGCUGCGUCGGGUCUUCGUUUCUGCACACAGUCUUUUUCUAGUUGCAGCAAGUGGGGGCUGCUCUUUGUUGUGAUGCGUGGGUUUCUCAUUGCAGUGGCUUCUCUUGUUGCGGAGCACAGCCUCUAGGUGUGUAGACUUCAGUAGUUGUGGCUCGCGGGCUCUAGAGUUGAGGUGCACAGACUCUAGAGCACAGGCUCAGUAGUUGUGUCACACGGGCUUAGUUACUCCACGGCAUGUGGGAUCUUCCCAGACCAGGGCUCGAAUCCGUGUCCCCUGGGUUGGCAGGCGGAUUCUUAACCAUUGCGCCACCAGGGAAGUCCCUGUAUUUAGGUUUCUAAUCCAUUUUCAGUUAAUUUUUAUAUGUGGCAUAAGGUAAGUGUCCAACUUCAUUCUUUUGCAUGUGCCAUUUGUUGAAGAGACUGUCUCUUCCCCACUGAGUAGUCUGGACACUCUUAUUGACAAUCAGUUCGCUAUAUAUACGGGUUUAUUUCUGGGUUCUCUAUUCUAUUGGUCUGUAUGUCUGUCCUUAUGCCACGCCACACUGUUGCAAUCACUUUCACUUUAUAGGACAUGACCUGGCCUUUUACGUACAUCCCUUCAUCUCUUCCUCACCAAACACUCUGAAGUAGGCAUUAUAUAAUCAUUCUUGCUGGGUAAAGUCAGGCCUAAAAGGUUAGGGUGACUUACCCUCCGUCACAAAAUUGGUGGAUGUAUUAUCCUUUGCAAGGUGACAUUGCAAGUGCUCCCAGGUUGACAGACAUACAAAAACAGUGAAUUCUUGUAUCUUGACCUUAAAAACAACUUCCAUAGUCAGGUGAUGUCUAGCCAGGCCUUCAGCAACUAGGAUCCAAAGCCAGGAUAUUUCAAGAGGAAGAAAGUGAUCCUGAGCAUCUUUGAUCAAGUUAGUGGUUGAAGUCCAAGAGCAUGAUCUCAGAAGCAAUCAGCUGAAGGAGAGGGAAAACCUGGAGAAUGGUGUCAGCCAGGAAUCAGAUGUUUUCAAAAGAGUUUUAAACGCAAAGUAUAGCAGAGCCAUCUUUCCUGCGCAGUCAUAAGCCAUCAUGCUACGAUUGAAAAUGGAACAGACGGGGCUUCCCUGGUGGCGCAGUGGUUAAGAAUCCGCCUGCCGAUGCAGGGGACACGGGUUCGAGCCCUGGUCCGGGAAGAUACCACAUGCCGCGGAGCAACUAAGCCCGUGCGCCACAAAUACUGAGCCCGUGAGCCACAACUACUGAAGCCCGCGUGCCUAGAGCCCGUGCUCCGCCACAAGAGAAGCCACUGCAAUGAGAAGCCCGCGCACCGCAACGAAGAGUAGCCCCCGCUCGCCGCAGCUAGAGAAAGCCUGCGCGCAACAAAGACCUAACGCAGCCAAAAAUAAAUAAAUAAAAUAAAUUUAUUUUGAAAGAAAGAAAAUGGAACAGAAAAUGUAUGCUUCCUUGGCGCCUCCUAUCUUAAGAGAAGGCGUCCACGUUGCUUCAACAGUAUGAGGUGCGGUAAGAAUGUAAAGGUGCAGAAGCAAUCGAUAGCCCCUUGGUGGGGGGGACUCAACAGGGAAAAGCUAGGGAAGCAGCAGAGUUUAUGUCACACGGAGAGAAUCAGAAACAGGAUCACCCUUGCCUCUGCCCAGACCAUGGGAGAGUCCCCUGGGCUGGGGCAGGGAGGAAGAAUGGCGCUGGGGGUGACCUGCAAAGAGGUGGUGCAGCAGAGGUGCAGAGGGGGUUAGCCCCGGGAGCCCGCCCUGCGACCAGUGCCCCUCCCCCACCCCACCCCAAGUGACAGUGUGAAGCGCCUGCCUUUCGGGGGAGGGGUAUAGUACUUUCCCGGGGCCACCAUAACAAAUGACCACUCACUGGGUAUCUUCAAGCAACAAAGAUGUAUUCUCUCACAGUUCUAGAGGCCAGAAGUCUGAGAUCAAGGUGUCGGCAGGGCCGUGGUCUCUCGAGGCUCUAGGGGAGGAUCCUUCCUGGCCUCUUGCAGUUUCUGUUGGUGGCUGGCAUUCCUUGUCGAUCCUGGGCUUGUGCUGAGUAGCUGCAUCGCCCCAGCCUCUGCCUGCCUCAUCACGCGGCCUCUCUGUGAGUUUCUGAAUUUCUCUCUUCUUGCAGGAAUACCAGUCAUUGGAUUUAAGGCCCACCCUAUUCUAGUAUGACCUCAUUAAAAAAAAAAAAAUUUUUUUUAAGGAUUGGGGUGCAGGUGGGGGAAGCAACUAAUAAAAAAAGGAAAAAAAAUUUAAGAUUUUUUUAAAAGAUUUUUUUGAUGUGGACCAUUUUUCAAGACUUUAUUGAAUUUGUUACAACAUUGCUCCUGUUCUAUGUUUUGUUUUUUUUGGCCACGAGGCACGUGGGAUCUAAAAUCCCUGACCAGGGAUCCAACCCACACCCGCUGCAUUGGAAGGCGAAGGCUUAACCA
Molecule: non-coding RNA, 2529 nt
Organism: Kogia breviceps (pygmy sperm whale)
Lineage: Eukaryota; Metazoa; Chordata; Mammalia; Artiodactyla; Physeteridae
Source: RefSeq, a predicted model, not a curated record